Non-coding RNA from Paraphysoderma sedebokerense, 77 nucleotides. NCBI's taxonomy places the organism in Eukaryota, Fungi, Blastocladiomycota, Physodermatomycetes, Physodermatales, Physodermataceae. The record is from the annotation of a GenBank genome assembly.
GUCGUCUUAGCUCAGCUGGGAGAGCGUCAGACUGAAGAGUCAUCUGAAGGCCCCGUGUUCAAUCCACGGAGACGACA